CCUACGGGAGGCAGCAGUGGGGAAUUUUGGACAAUGGGCGAAAGCCUGAUCCAGCAAUGCCGCGUGUGGGAAGAAGGCCUUCGGGUUGUAAACCACUUUUGUACGGAACGAAACGGCUCGCUUUAAUACAGCGGGCUAAUGACGGUACCGUAAGAAUAAGCACCGGCUAACUACGUGCCAGCAGCCGCGGUAAUACGUAGGGUGCGAGCGUUAAUCGGAAUUACUGGGCGUAAAGCGUGCGCAGGCGGUUAUAUAAGACAGUUUGUGAAAUCCCCGGGCUCAACCUGGGAAUUGCAUCUGUGACUGUAUAGCUAGAGUACGGUAGAGGGGGAUGGAAUUCCGCGUGUAGCAGUGAAAUGCGUAGAUAUGCGGAGGAACACCGAUGGCGAAGGCAAUCCCCCUGGACCUGUACUGACGCUCAUGCACGAAGGCGUGGGGAGCAAACAGGAUUAGAUACCCUGGUAGUCCACGCCCUAAACGAUGUCAACUGGUUGUUAGGGUGCAUUAGUACUCAGUAACGAAGCUAACGCGUGAAGUUGACCGCCGNGGAGUACGCGCGAGU
This 562-nucleotide ribosomal RNA is filed under the name uncultured bacterium. RNAcentral describes it as "bacterial SSU rRNA". It matches the Rfam family "Bacterial small subunit ribosomal RNA", at positions 338 to 891 of the family's 1533-position model. The record is from RNAcentral.